CUGGCGGCACGCCUACACAUGCAAGUCGAACGCAGUAGCAAUACUGAGUGGCAGACGGGUGAGUAACAUGUGGGAAUCUGCCUUGUGGUUCAGGACAACAUUGGGAAACUGAUGCUAAUACUGAUAAGCCCUUACGGGGAAAGUUUUAAUGCCAUAAGAUGAGCCCGCAUUUGAUUAGUUAGUUGGUGAGGUAAUGGCUCACCAAGACAAUGAUCAAUAGCUGAUCUGAGAGGAUGAUCAGCCACACUGGGACUGAGACACGGCCCAGACUCCUACGGGAGGCAGCAGUGGGGAAUCUUGCACAAUGGAGGAAACUCUGAUGCAGCGAUGCCGCGUGAGUGAAGAAGGCCUUUGGGUUGUAAAGCUCUUUUGUAGGGGAAGAUAAUGACUGUACCCUAAGAAUAAGGUCCGGCUAACUUCGUGCCAGCAGCCGCGGUAAUACGAAGGGACCUAGCGUAGUUCGGAAUUACUGGGCGUAAAGCGCGCGUAGGCCGUUGAGUUAGUUAAUUGUGAAAUCCCAAAGCUUAACUUUGGAACUGCAAUUAAAACUGCUCGACUAGAGUUUGAUAGAGGAAAGCGGAAUACAUAGUGUAGAGGUGAAAUUCGUAGAUAUUAUGUAGAACACCAGUUGCGAAGGCGGCUUUCUGGAUCAACACUGACGCUGAGGCGCGAAAGUAUGGGUAGCAAAGAGGAUUAGAUACCCUCGUAGUCCAUACCAUAAACGAUGAUUGCUAGAUGUNGNAAUUUAUUUUCAGUAUCGCAGCUAACGCAUUAAGCAAUCCGCCUGGGGAGUACGAC
Molecule: ribosomal RNA, 798 nt
Filed under: uncultured Alphaproteobacteria bacterium
Lineage: Bacteria; Pseudomonadati; Pseudomonadota; Alphaproteobacteria
Description: bacterial SSU rRNA
Rfam family: Bacterial small subunit ribosomal RNA
Source: RNAcentral